This 498-nucleotide ribosomal RNA is filed under the name uncultured bacterium. Its description in RNAcentral is "bacterial SSU rRNA". It matches the Rfam family "Bacterial small subunit ribosomal RNA", at positions 899 to 1397 of the family's 1533-position model. The record is from RNAcentral.
ACUCAAAGGAAUUGACGGGGGCCCGCACAAGCGGUGGAGCAUGUGGUUUAAUUCGACGCAACGCGAAGAACCUUACCAAGGCUUGACAUCGAGUUGAAAAAUCUAGAGAUAGAUUCCCUCUUCGGAGCAACUCAGACAGGUGGUGCAUGGUUGUCGUCAGCUCGUGUCGUGAGAUGUUGGGUUAAGUCCCGCAACGAGCGCAACCCUUGCCUUUAGUAGCCACCAGGUAAAGCUGGGCACACUAGAGGGACUGCCGUGGAUAACACGGAGGAAGGUGGGGAUGAUGUCAAAUCAUCAUGCCCCUUAUGUCUUGGGCUACACACGUGCUACAAUGGCUUUUACAAUGUGAAGCAAAGGGGCGACCCCAAGCCAAUCACAAAAAGAAGCCUCAGUUCGGAUUGCAGUCUGCAACUCGACUGCAUGAAGUUGGAAUCGCUAGUAAUCGCGAAUCAGCAUGUCGCGGUGAAUACGUUCCCGGGCCUUGUACACACCGCCCGU